UACGGGGGGGGCAAGCGUUGUUCGGAAUUACUGGGCGUAAAGGGCGCGUAGGCGGCCCGCUUAGUCGGACGUGAAAUCCCUCGGCUCAACCGAGGAACUGCGUCCGAUACUGGCGGGCUCGAAUCCGGGAGAGGGAUGUGGAAUUCCAGGUGUAGCGGUGAAAUGCGUAGAUAUCUGGAGGAACACCGGUGGCGAAGGCGGCAUCCUGGACCAACACUGACGCUGAGGCGCGAAAGCUAGGGGAGCAAACGGG
RNAcentral lists this ribosomal RNA (253 nucleotides) under uncultured bacterium. RNAcentral's name for it is "partial 16S ribosomal RNA". It matches the Rfam family "Bacterial small subunit ribosomal RNA", at positions 524 to 776 of the family's 1533-position model. The record is from RNAcentral.